AUUGAACGCUGGCGGCAGGCCUAACACAUGCAAGUCGAGCGGAUGAAGGGAGCUUGCUCCUGGAUUCAGCGGCGGACGGGUGAGUAAUGCCUAGGAAUCUGCCUGGUAGUUGUGGAUAACGUCCGGAAACGGGCGCUAAUACCGCAUACGUCCUGAGGGAGAAAGUGGGGGAUCUUCGGACCUCACGCUAUCAGAUGAGCCUAGGUCGGAUUAGCUAGUUGGUGGGGUAAAGGCCUACCAAGGCGACGAUCCGUAACUGGUCUGAGAGGAUGAUCAGUCACACUGGAACUGAGACACGGUCCAGACUCCUACGGGAGGCAGCAGUGGGGAAUAUUGGGCAAUGGGCGAAAGCCUGAUCCAGCCAUGCCGCGUGUGUGAAGAAGGUCUUCGGAUUGUAAAGCACUUUAAGUUGGGAGGAAGGGCAGUAAGUUAAUACCUUGCUGUUUUGACGUUACCAACAGAAUAAGCACCGGCUAACUUCGUG
RNAcentral lists this ribosomal RNA (484 nucleotides) under uncultured bacterium. RNAcentral describes it as "partial 16S ribosomal RNA". It matches the Rfam family "Bacterial small subunit ribosomal RNA", at positions 30 to 507 of the family's 1533-position model. The record is from RNAcentral.